CUGGGCAGCUGGCCCAGCAGGCGCUCUCAGGUCCCCAGGCCGCCGCAUAGCAGAGGGCCGCGUGGGAAGCCGGGCUCAGCGGUUUCCUUGGCGACCGGCCUUCUCCCGCAGCCAGCCACCGGCUCCAGGUCCUGGAAGCACCGCAAGCAACCAACUUUUUAUCCAGGCUUACAGAGGGUUACAGGAGACCCAAAGAGCAAGUAACUUCAGGGUACCAAGAUUCUGAUUUGAAGCCAUCAGCUUGACCACUUAUGGGGCUCUGUCAUGGAAGGGGCUUGGGAAAAUCUAUGUCUAGAGGUAUCACCUUAAGAUAGUGGUUCAAGAAGUUACACCAAACCACUUCUUGGAUGAAGAACAGAAGCAAGAAGACCCAGAAAUGAGCUAUGGUGUGGAUCAGAUUACUAAAUUUUUGCUAAGCUUGCUCAGCAUAUUUCAACUUUUUGGAUACUGUUUUCUUGAUGUAUCUUAGGGGUAUCUUUUCCUACAAACCAAAAUAAUCUCAUCAAGAUUGUCACCGGUAAUAAAAUAAUAGGUGAGUGGAGGAUAUCUUCACUAAUCAACUCCCCCUUCUCCAGUGUCCAGGCAAUGGUGCUGCUAUUCAAUUCCUUGCUGGGAAUCCUUGCAUUGAAUGUGCUGUGAACAGCCUGAAAGAGCUAUUAAGAAGACCAGAAGUAGUGUGAGAACCUAUAAACACAUGAAUAAAGGACAUCUGGAGAUCAGGCAUAAAUGUCUGUCUGUCAGCUGAUAAAUAUAAUCAAAGGGGGAAGGAGAAGUAAGUGGCUAUCAAUCUUUUUUUGAGGGGACUCAGAUCCUCUUGAAGAUCUGAUGAGAGCUGUCGGCCUUCUUCCCAGAAAAAUGCAUGUGCACAGAAUUCUUUCCACAUUACUUCAGAGGGUUUAGAGACUCCAGGAAAAGCCCACAGGCCUGGAGUAAGGAACUCCUGGGAUGGAGGGACUCCAUGGGGAAGACAAGUGGAGAACAUAAAAUUUUAGUUUGGGAACAGGCCUGAAGAGGCAGUGUCUCUGGAAUUCCAUGGUGCUGGUGGGCAGAGAGCACCGUUUCUGCUUAAAUCAAUGGAGGAGGGAAGAGGGUUGGAGGUUUGAAACCAGGGGCUCCUUGUACAGCUAGGCUCAAAAUCUAGAUGCAUUUUGGAAGUAACAAACUGUGGAUGGACAGGAUGUAGAGCACAAGUCAGAGAUGACUUCUGAGGAAAUGGAAAGACAACAGUUGCUGUUAACUGAAGCAGGCAACUGGAGGAGGAAGGAGGGUUCACCCUUGGACUUGAUCAGUUGGAGAUGCCUGUUAGAAAUACAGAGGGAAGUAUCAA
Ictidomys tridecemlineatus (thirteen-lined ground squirrel) is the source of this 1327-nucleotide long non-coding RNA. RefSeq lists it as uncharacterized. NCBI's taxonomy places the organism in Eukaryota, Metazoa, Chordata, Mammalia, Rodentia, Sciuridae. The record is from RefSeq and is a predicted model, not a curated record.